ACAUUAAUACGAACACUGUUGUUCCAUUGUUGACUUGUAUUUUUAGUUUGUAUGCUGCUUAGAGUUGAGCAGUUGAAGCAGGAGAAAAGAACUUGUAAUAAAUAAACACAUAACUGAAUGAAUGCACUCUAGCUGGGCCACUUUGGAUAUUUUUCUUUCUUUCUUUUUAGGAAAUGAUAUUCACUCAGCCACCUUUGGGAUUGCUGAGUGGCCACUAAAGAUGGGAGAUGAAUGGCAACAAAUUGUUAGAGGAAAGAAUUCCAUGUGUGCUACUAAAGAUGAAGCUACCAACCUUUGAACCAGGAAGUUCUCCACCUUGAGCAUUUUUUUUAAAAAAAUGGAACAAAUAGCCAGUCAUUUAAAUUUGGGAAUGUUCCUUCCACAAAACCUAAUUGUGAGGGAAGAGACAGGAGAAAUGAAGUGAGAACACUGAACAUCAGAGAAAAGAAAAAAACACAGGAGAAAGGAUGUAAAUGAGGGAAAACAGGCUCAUCUAUCCAUCAUUGACCCACCUCUAUCCCUUUUGGAUUUUGGUUAGGAUCCUGCCCUAGCCUUGGUCUAUGGACUCCAAAGGAUAAUCCACAAGAGAAUAAAGCAUUAAAAUGGUAAUCCAUC
Pantherophis guttatus is the source of this 615-nucleotide long non-coding RNA. RefSeq lists it as uncharacterized. NCBI's taxonomy places the organism in Eukaryota, Metazoa, Chordata, Lepidosauria, Squamata, Colubridae. The record is from RefSeq and is a predicted model, not a curated record.